RNAcentral lists this ribosomal RNA (1338 nucleotides) under Klebsiella pneumoniae. RNAcentral's name for it is "bacterial SSU rRNA". It matches the Rfam family "Bacterial small subunit ribosomal RNA", at positions 23 to 1353 of the family's 1533-position model. Lineage: Bacteria; Pseudomonadati; Pseudomonadota; Gammaproteobacteria; Enterobacterales; Enterobacteriaceae. The record is from RNAcentral.
CUCAGAUUGAACGCUGGCGGCAGGCCUAACACAUGCAAGUCGAGCGGUAGCACAGAGAGCUUGCUCUCGGGUGACGAGCGGCGGACGGGUGAGUAAUGUCUGGGAAACUGCCUGAUGGAGGGGGAUAACUACUGGAAACGGUAGCUAAUACCGCAUAAUGUCGCAAGACCAAAGUGGGGGACCUUCGGGCCUCAUGCCAUCAGAUGUGCCCAGAUGGGAUUAGCUAGUAGGUGGGGUAACGGCUCACCUAGGCGACGAUCCCUAGCUGGUCUGAGAGGAUGACCAGCCACACUGGAACUGAGACACGGUCCAGACUCCUACGGGAGGCAGCAGUGGGGAAUAUUGCACAAUGGGCGCAAGCCUGAUGCAGCCAUGCCGCGUGUGUGAAGAAGGCCUUCGGGUUGUAAAGCACUUUCAGCGGGGAGGAAGGCGGUAAGGUUAAUAACCUUGUCGAUUGACGUUACCCGCAGAAGAAGCACCGGCUAACUCCGUGCCAGCAGCCGCGGUAAUACGGAGGGUGCAAGCGUUAAUCGGAAUUACUGGGCGUAAAGCGCACGCAGGCGGUCUGUCAAGUCGGAUGUGAAAUCCCCGGGCUCAACCUGGGAACUGCAUUCGAAACUGGCAGGCUAGAGUCUUGUAGAGGGGGGUAGAAUUCCAGGUGUAGCGGUGAAAUGCGUAGAGAUCUGGAGGAAUACCGGUGGCGAAGGCGGCCCCCUGGACAAAGACUGACGCUCAGGUGCGAAAGCGUGGGGAGCAAACAGGAUUAGAUACCCUGGUAGUCCACGCCGUAAACGAUGUCGAUUUGGAGGUUGUGCCCUUGAGGCGUGGCUUCCGGAGCUAACGCGUUAAAUCGACCGCCUGGGGAGUACGGCCGCAAGGUUAAAACUCAAAUGAAUUGACGGGGGCCCGCACAAGCGGUGGAGCAUGUGGUUUAAUUCGAUGCAACGCGAAGAACCUUACCUGGUCUUGACAUCCACAGAACUUUCCAGAGAUGGAUUGGUGCCUUCGGGAACUGUGAGACAGGUGCUGCAUGGCUGUCGUCAGCUCGUGUUGUGAAAUGUUGGGUUAAGUCCCGCAACGAGCGCAACCCUUAUCCUUUGUUGCCAGCGGUUAGGCCGGGAACUCAAAGGAGACUGCCAGUGAUAAACUGGAGGAAGGUGGGGAUGACGUCAAGUCAUCAUGGCCCUUACGACCAGGGCUACACACGUGCUACAAUGGCAUAUACAAAGAGAAGCGACCUCGCGAGAGCAAGCGGACCUCAUAAAGUAUGUCGUAGUCCGGAUUGGAGUCUGCAACUCGACUCCAUGAAGUCGGAAUCGCUAGUAAUCGUAGAUCAGA